GAUGAACGCUCGCGCUAGGCUUAACACAUGCAAGUCGAGGGGCAGCACAAGGUAGCUUGCUCUCUGGGUGGCGACCGGCGCACGGGUGCGUAACGCGUAUGCAACUUGCCCUAUACAGGAGGAUAACCCGUCGAAAGACGGACUAAUACUGCGUAUGCUCACAACUUGGCAUCAAGUGGUGAGGAAAGAAAUUCGGUAUAGGAUAGGCAUGCGUCCCAUUAGCUUGUUGGUGAGGUAACGGCUCACCAAGGCAACGAUGGGGAGGGGAACUGAGAGGUUUAUCCCCCACACUGGUACUGAGACACGGACCAGACUCCUACGGGAGGCAGCAGUGAGGAAGAGUGGUCAAUGGGCGCGAGCCUGAACCAGCCAAGUCGCGUGAAGGAGGACUGUCUUAUGGAUUGUAAACUUCUUUUAUACGGGAAUAACAAGAGUCACGGGUGACUCCCUGCAUGUACCGUAUGAAUAAGCAUCGGCUAACUCCGUG
RNAcentral lists this ribosomal RNA (487 nucleotides) under uncultured bacterium. RNAcentral describes it as "partial 16S ribosomal RNA". It matches the Rfam family "Bacterial small subunit ribosomal RNA", at positions 28 to 507 of the family's 1533-position model. The record is from RNAcentral.